This 253-nucleotide unclassified non-coding RNA is filed under the name uncultured Solirubrobacterales bacterium. Its description in RNAcentral is "contains 16S-23S intergenic spacer region". It matches the Rfam family "Bacterial small subunit ribosomal RNA", at positions 524 to 776 of the family's 1533-position model. The record is from RNAcentral. Lineage: Bacteria; Bacillati; Actinomycetota; Thermoleophilia; Solirubrobacterales.
UACGUAGGUGGCAAGCGUUGUCCGGAAUUAUUGGGCGUAAAGCGCGUGUAGGCGGCUAGAUAAGUCUUGUGUAAAAGUCAAAGGCUCAACCUUUGAAUGUCAUCGGAUACUGUCUGGCUAGAGUCCGGAAGAGGCGAGUGGAAUUCCUGGUGUAGCGGUGAAAUGCGCAGAUAUCAGGAGGAACACCGAUGGCGAAGGCAACUCGCUGGGACGGUACUGACGCUGAGACGCGAAAGCGUGGGGAGCAAACAGG